Molecule: ribosomal RNA, 491 nt
Filed under: uncultured bacterium
Lineage: Bacteria
Description: bacterial SSU rRNA
Rfam family: Bacterial small subunit ribosomal RNA
Source: RNAcentral
AUUGAACGCUGGCGGCAGGCUUAACACAUGCAAGUCGAGCGGAGCGAGGGUGCUUGCACCUUAGCUUAGCGGCGGACGGGUGAGUAAUGCUUAGGAAUCUGCCUAUUAGUGGGGGACAACAUUCCGAAAGGAAUGCUAAUACCGCAUACGCCCUACGGGGAAAGCAGGGGAUCUUCGGACCUUGCGCUAAUAGAUGAGCCUAAGUCAGAUUAGCCAGUUGGUGGGGUAAAGGCCUACCAAGGCGACGAUCUGUAGCGGGUCUGAGAGGAUGAUCCGCCACACUGGGACUGAGACACGGCCCAGACUCCUACGGGAGGCAGCAGUGGGGAAUAUUGGACAAUGGGCGCAAGCCUGAUCCAGCCAUGCCGCGUGUGUGAAGAAGGCCUUUUGGUUGUAAAGCACUUUAAGCGAGGAGGAGGCUACUUGGAUUAAUACUCUAGGAUAGUGGACGUUACUCGCAGAAUAAGCACCGGCUAACUCUGUGCCAGCAG